UAGUGUAUGUAUAAUUUGUGGUGUUUUUCUGUUCCCUGCAAAUGGGUGCAUUUUUUUCUUGCAGUGAAUCUCAGCAAAAUGGACAAAUGGACACACACAAACACUGACAUCCUUUUUCAUCCCCAGUGAGGCUGCAUGCCUCUUACUUCCUUCUUUUCCAAAAGUAAAGCACUGUAUUCUUUUUUUUAAAGAAUCAGAUCCUUUACAUUUUCCAGUCUUGUCUUAGUGGCUACUUUUAUCAAUGCAGAUUAGAACAAUAUUAAAAUAUUAAAACAAUAUAGCUUUGUUUUGGAAGAGACACUUUUUUUGCAUUUUUACAAGUCUUUCUAACUCGCUCACUUCUUUUCUUCUUUUAAUUUUUGGCUUCUUUAUUUAGCUGGAGUUAACCUUUGCCUGUAACAUUCCCUUUACUGGUCCGCCUGGGUGGUCCAAGUUCCAGACCAACACUGGGGAAGCCAAUUUGGAAGAGGAGAUUAUUCUCUCCUCUGAGCAAGAACAACGUGAAUAAAACAACCUCUAACAGCUUUAAGAAACUGCCUGCUCAUUAUAAAAUGAAGCCUCCAACAAAAAAUUCUCUUCAGAUAUACCCUCCCUGUGUGAAAUGAACAGAUUGGUAUUGAAAACUCGGGUUUAUGGCUUCAUUGGCUGGAUCAAUUCAUCUAGAAUUUCCCCCUUUUCCUUCUGCCUUCCACUUUACAAAGCAGUAUCAACUUUUCCAGUGUGUCACAUCAUCUCAUGAUAUGGCCAAAAUAUGACAGCCUCAGUGUAUUCAUCUUGCCUGCUAGGGAGAUAUGAAUAUUGGGAGAUAUCUCCAUUAAAGAAUUGCAUUUCUUUAGUUACAUUUCUUUAUAUUCCACUUCCCUCUCAAUAUAGAAUCCAAGUGGCUGAUGGAAAUUAAAACGUAAAUGGUUUGAAACUAUACAUAUUUUUUGUGCAGAAUGUUUUAAACUGCAGGCAGAUGUUUAAAUGAGUCAAAAUGAACUUCAGGCAGGAAAAAUAAUCCCUCAAAAUAAUUUCAAAUUCAACUUCAGCUAACAAUUCAGUAGAAACUCAUAUCAAAAUCACUUUAAAACAAAUUUAUGUGAACACAAGAAUGAAACCGGAAACUUUGCAGUGAUAUAAUCAGUAACACCUUAUAGAUUAACAAUAGCAAGAGCUUGGAAAAGGUACUUAUUGUACAACAGUUACCAUAUCCUCAAGAGGUCUUGUUGGCUGGGGAUUCUGGGAGUUACAAGUCAAAAAGCAAUUUCCCAAACUCCAAUGUAGUCAUUUUUUAAUUAAGUUUAAAACAUACAACAGAAAUCAAUGCAUCGGUGUGCAUGCACCCUCUCUGUCAAUUUCGGCACUAGAUGCACUAAUUGUGGGGCCACCUGUGUUGGCUCUGGGUUAACCUUGUUACAAAAAUAUCACAAAAUCAUAUUUUCCAGCUUUGGCUGCUGCUAAUUCGUCCAGCAGCUGCGUUUCCACAUAAAAUUAAAUGAGACUGUUUCUUUGUGCCUCACCAGUCCUCCAAAAUAAUAAUAAUAAAAAUAAGGGGGGGAAAUUUUCACAGCUGAAUGCAUGGAUGUAUUUCAAUGAUCUAGACUUCUACAAAGAAGUGUUGGGUUGAUGGAAUAUUUAGCUUUGCCUUUCUUGAAACUACUGUCUAGCGCAGGAGAUCUAGGCUGCAUCCAAAGUUAUUCUGCAGUAUGAAACUAAUGCUUUUGAGAGACAGAAGGUGCAUCUACAUGGUAGAAUGAAUGCUGUUUCACGCCACACUUUAGUUGGUGUAUGUAGAGAUAUUUCUCCUCCAAAAAAGUAACUUUCUCAAGUUGUCUAGAAGUAUGUGAGGUUAUCCAGAAUGGUGGGGAAUACUUUCAGAUCUGGGAAUUGUCUCUGGGUGCAUCUCCACUGUAGAAUGAAUGCAGUUUUGCACCACUUUAAUGGCUGUGGCACAAUGCUAUGGGUUUGAGAGUUAUAGCUUGGUAAGGCACUCUUUAGCAGAGAAGGUUGAGACCUUGUAAAACGAAUACACCCAUGAUUCCAUAACAUUGAACCAUGGCAGUUAAAAGACUGUCAAACUACACUAAAUAAUAUGGUGAAGGUGCAGCCAGAGUGUCUGUGUAUAAAUAUACAUAUGGGGGACAUCAGCACAAAUCGGAGUCCUAAAUCAGCAUUGUGCGCUGUAGAUCUCUGCCUG
This is a long non-coding RNA of Anolis carolinensis (green anole), 2179 nucleotides long. RefSeq lists it as uncharacterized. The transcript is spliced from 4 exons. The record is from RefSeq and is a predicted model, not a curated record. Lineage: Eukaryota; Metazoa; Chordata; Lepidosauria; Squamata; Anolidae.